GGGAGCCCAGCACCCAGGGAGCACACCCUGGGGAGACGGAGCAGCAAAACCAUACACUGAGCUGGAAGAAGGGAACUUGUUCUUGCCUAUUAAGAUCACUGGACAUUUUCAAGUGUGAACUCUCUGAAGAAGGCAAACAUAAGGAAUCCCGUAUGGUAUUUGCUCCUGGAAAUCAUGAUGUGGAGCAGUGAUCACAGCCGCUAUCAACGGUAGAAUUAGAGAAAGGACACCCUUUUCAGGAGAAAAAGAUUGCACACCUGAAAACUUCCUCCAGUCAACUUCAGCUUCAGAUUGUCAUCAUCACCCAAGAUCAUGGUUGGGCACUCAGAAUGAUCCUGGGAUCCCAGAAAUUUUAGAGUCACCAGAGAAACUUUUAAUUCAAUUGACAAUGUCAAAGCUACUAUUAUGGAUAGCUACUCUUUAUUGAUCCUUUAUUAUGUGUUGGUCCUCAAAGCUGCACUUCAAAUUUUUAUAGACAAGCAUCAGACCCCUGGGGCAGCCAGGCCUGGAUCCCAGAUGAAAGGUGACUUCAGCCCACUGAUCGCUCUUAUGACUAAGUUGAUGUGUGCUCUCUUUCUGAAGUGUGAUUCCCAUUUCCCUAGAGUUUUGAUUUGAUAUUAUUUAAAAUUGAUAAACACAAAUGAAUAUAUUUACGAUAUAAAGCAUGAUAUUUUGAACCAUGUAUAUAUUGUGGGUUGA
Oryctolagus cuniculus (rabbit) is the source of this 699-nucleotide non-coding RNA. NCBI's taxonomy places the organism in Eukaryota, Metazoa, Chordata, Mammalia, Lagomorpha, Leporidae. The record is from RefSeq and is a predicted model, not a curated record.